AGUGAACGCUGGCGGUAGGCCUAACACAUGCAAGUCGAACGGCAGCACAGUAAGAGCUUGCUCUUACGGGUGGCGAGUGGCGGACGGGUGGGGAAUACAUCGGAAUCUACUUUUUCGUGGGGGAUAACGUAGGGAAACUUACGCUAAUACCGCAUACGACCUACGGGUGAAAGCAGGGGAUCUUCGGACCUUGCGCGAUUGAAUGAGCCGAUGUCGGAUUAGCUAGUUGGCGGGGUAAAGGCCCACCAAGGCGACGAUCCGUAGCUGGUCUGAGAGGAUGAUCAGCCACACUGGAACUGAGACACGGUCCAGACUCCUACGGGGGGCAGCAGUGGGGAAUAUUGGACAAAGGGCGCAAGCCUGAUCCAGCCAUACCGCGUGGGUGAAGAAGGCCUUCGGGUUGUAAAGCCCUUUUGUUGGGAAAGAAAAGCAGCAGGUUAAUACCCCGCUGUUCUGACGGUACCCAAAGAAUAAGCACCGGCUAACUUCGUG
Molecule: ribosomal RNA, 492 nt
Filed under: uncultured bacterium
Lineage: Bacteria
Description: partial 16S ribosomal RNA
Rfam family: Bacterial small subunit ribosomal RNA
Source: RNAcentral